RNAcentral lists this ribosomal RNA (301 nucleotides) under uncultured bacterium. RNAcentral describes it as "partial 16S ribosomal RNA". It matches the Rfam family "Bacterial small subunit ribosomal RNA", at positions 509 to 807 of the family's 1533-position model. The record is from RNAcentral.
CAGCAGCCGCGGUAAUACGAAGGGUGCAAGCGUUAAUCGGAAUUACUGGGCGUAAAGCGUGCGUAGGCGGUUUGUUAAGUCUGCUGUGAAAUCCCCGGGCUCAACCUGGGAAUGGCAGUGGAUACUGGCAAGCUAGAGUGUGUCAGAGGAUGGUGGAAUUCCCGGUGUAGCGGUGAAAUACGUAGAGAUCGGGAGGAACAUCAGUGGCGAAGGCGGCCAUCUGGGACAACACUGACGCUGAGGCACGAAAGCGUGGGGAGCAAACAGGAUUAGAGACCCCCGUAGUCCCUGUCUCUUAUAC